Molecule: long non-coding RNA, 1231 nt
Organism: Drosophila miranda
Lineage: Eukaryota; Metazoa; Arthropoda; Insecta; Diptera; Drosophilidae
Exons: 4
Source: RefSeq, a predicted model, not a curated record
GAAUCGACGUAUAUUUACGGUAUAUCGGUAUAUCAACGAUAUGAGUUGUGCUGUCGCGACUUAUCGAAGCACUGCCAUUUGAAUUGCGGAACAAAACAAAGUAAUCUUAUUAUUAGAUUUUCCCGUGGGCGGCCGUUUUAAAGACCGGCGGCGCCCUUUGCCGCAGAUGUGGACCACUACUCUGCCCUGCCUCAGCCCCCAGACCACCCCGGAUGUGCUCUACGCGGAGUGUUCAUCAACAAAGCAGACCAUCGCUGAAACUGGCCUGGAAACUGAGACACACACUGGCUACCGGCAAUACCAUCGUCCUAAAGCCAGUCGAGCAGUCAAUGUGGUGCCUGGUUUCGGUGGAGCCGGCGCUGCCCUAGCCAAUCACCCAGAUUGCCUCUUUUAGCUUCCUGGGAAAACUCGCAAAAGCCUCCCGACAUUGCCGUGCAUGCCAUGAAGGCGAGGCGUCUGCUCUUCUCGACAGAUGUCGGAAGCCAUCAGGUCAUCAUUCGGGCCCGAGUCGAAGGCAAUGAGCGUAUGGAGCUGGAAGGAGUCACGGCCUGGACCAACAGUCCGAAAUACUAAUCCCAUUGCAAGCGAAUCGAUGGAAAGAACAAGUGGGAUUUGUGUACUGGCUGGACGGAGACUGUCAAUGGAGAGCGUCGUUCCGCGGACCUGCAGCUUUUGUCGCAGAUCACCGACAUCCGGGCGCAAUCACACGUGUCUUCACGGUCACGACGUCUGGUCUGCUCGUGCCCCAAGCAUCUGAUGCUAUCCGGGAGUAGUGACAUGAACAACGACUGUAUAUCCGUCUUCUGGCGCUGCGAUGGUACCACCUGUGACAAUGUCCACGAUGAGGCCGACUGCUGCAAGCGGCCAAGAGACUUUCAGUGUCCCAUCAACAAAACUAUUUUUCCAGCUGCAUGAAUCCCUGCAAAAAAAAAAUACCACCCAAGUAGCAGAGGAACUAUAUGAUAAUUCCAAACGACGGUCUCCUUUUACUUAUGGGAACAUUUAUGGAAUGCAUAAGCAUCUGUUAAUGAGACAAAACGGAAUAAAAUGCCAAUGUGUCCUUUCACAUAUGGGAAUUUAUGAGAGUUUCGAAGUACAAGUGCAGAAGAUUCAAAAUCUUUGCCACGAUUCGACAGAUCCGCCUUCCCUCGGCCAGUACCGAAUGGGGUUCAUAUAUCCUUCGCUGGUAAAAUAAAAAUCAAAUACGACGAAGAAUAUUUAAAAUUUCUUU